UGAAACCAGGAUUAGAUACCCUGUUAUACUUAAUUGUAAAUGAGAUGAUUGCUUGAGUAGUAUACAGUUAUGUUCUUGGAACUCAAAGGAUUUGGCGGUAUUUUAGUCCGGUUAGAGGAGCCUGUUCUAUAAUCGAUAAACCACGAAUAAGUUUACUUCUUAAAGUUGAUCAGUUUGUAUACCGUCAUUAUAAGAUAACUCUUACAAGAUUGUUGUUGUAAUAGGAUAUGUAUUAGUAUAUUAGAUCAAGGUGCAGCUAAUUAAGGAGGUUGAAAUGGGCUACAAUAAUAUUUAUUUAAAUGGAUUUCUUUUUGUAAAGGAAGAAUGAAGGUGGAUUUAAUUGUAAUUUUUGUUUAGGAAGAUAAAGUGAUAGUGGCUCUAAAAUAUGUACAUAUCGCCCGUCGCUAA
RNAcentral lists this ribosomal RNA (408 nucleotides) under Procaris ascensionis. Its description in RNAcentral is "partial 12S ribosomal RNA". It matches the Rfam family "Microsporidia small subunit ribosomal RNA", at positions 650 to 1205 of the family's 1311-position model. Lineage: Eukaryota; Metazoa; Arthropoda; Malacostraca; Decapoda; Procarididae. The record is from RNAcentral.